GAUGAACGCUGGCGGCGUGCCUAAUACAUGCAAGUCGAGCGAACGGACGAGAAGCUUGCUUCUCUGAUGUUAGCGGCGGACGGGUGAGUAACACGUGGAUAACCUACCUAUAAGACUGGGAUAACUUCGGGAAACCGGAGCUAAUACCGGAUAAUAUUUUGAACCGCAUGGUUCAAAAGUGAAAGACGGUCUUGCUGUCACUUAUAGAUGGAUCCGCGCUGCAUUAGCUAGUUGGUAAGGUAACGGCUUACCAAGGCAACGAUGCAUAGCCGACCUGAGAGGGUGCUCGGCCACACUGGAACUGAGCCACGGUCCAGACUCCUACGGGAGGCAGCAGUAGGGAAUCUUCCGCAAUGGGCGAAAGCCUGACGGAGCAACGCCACGUGAGUGAUGAAGGUCUUCGGAUCGUAAAACUCUGUUAUUAGGGAAGAACAUAUGUGUAAGUAACUGUGCACAUCUUGACGGUACCUAAUCAGAAAGCCACGGCUAACUACGUG
Molecule: ribosomal RNA, 497 nt
Filed under: uncultured bacterium
Lineage: Bacteria
Description: partial 16S ribosomal RNA
Rfam family: Bacterial small subunit ribosomal RNA
Source: RNAcentral